Molecule: ribosomal RNA, 372 nt
Filed under: uncultured Glomeromycotina
Lineage: Eukaryota; Fungi; Glomeromycota
Description: LSU rRNA
Source: RNAcentral
UUGAAAGGGAAACGAUUGAAGUCAGUCGUACCGGUGGGUAAUCAGCCUUUCGGCGUGAUUAUGUGGAACGUGAGGAGUUAAACGCCUUCAUGCCUGCAUAUUCGUGUUCUUUGGGUGUACUUACCCGCAUGGUAGGUUAACAUCAAUUUCGAACGUCAUAAAAUGGUUGGAGGAAUGUGGCUUCGAUCUCGUAUUGAAGUGUUAUAGCCUUCGGCAGAUGUGAUGAUCGGGAUUGAGGAUUGCAACGGAUACCCUUCGGGGCUACCCGUCUGAUCUCUGAAAGUUGCUCUGGUGCCGAAAGCUCGCUUACGGUCAUCAAAGUUGACGUUCAACAGGUUAGAACGGGAUAAAUUCGUUAAGGAUGUUGACGUA